Molecule: ribosomal RNA, 2904 nt
Filed under: Escherichia coli
Lineage: Bacteria; Pseudomonadati; Pseudomonadota; Gammaproteobacteria; Enterobacterales; Enterobacteriaceae
Description: partial 23S ribosomal RNA
Rfam family: Bacterial large subunit ribosomal RNA
Source: RNAcentral
GGGUUGUGAGGUUAAGCGACUAAGCGUACACGGUGGAUGCCCUGGCAGUCAGAGGCGAUGAAGGACGUGCUAAUCUGCGAUAAGCGUCGGUAAGGUGAUAUGAACCGUUAUAACCGGCGAUUUCCGAAUGGGGAAACCCAGUGUGAUUCGUCACACUAUCAUUAACUGAAUCCAUAGGUUAAUGAGGCGAACCGGGGGAACUGAAACAUCUAAGUACCCCGAGGAAAAGAAAUCAACCGAGAUUCCCCCAGUAGCGGCGAGCGAACGGGGAGCAGCCCAGAGCCUGAAUCAGUGUGUGUGUUAGUGGAAGCGUCUGGAAAGGCGCGCGAUACAGGGUGACAGCCCCGUACACAAAAAUGCACAUACUGUGAGCUCGAUGAGUAGGGCGGGACACGUGGUAUCCUGUCUGAAUAUGGGGGGACCAUCCUCCAAGGCUAAAUACUCCUGACUGACCGAUAGUGAACCAGUACCGUGAGGGAAAGGCGAAAAGAACCCCGGCGAGGGGAGUGAAAAAGAACCUGAAACCGUGUACGUACAAGCAGUGGGAGCACGCUUAGGCGUGUGACUGCGUACCUUUUGUAUAAUGGGUCAGCGACUUAUAUUCUGUAGCAAGGUUAACCGAAUAGGGGAGCCGAAGGGAAACCGAGUCUUAACUGGGCGUUAAGUUGCAGGGUAUAGACCCGAAACCCGGUGAUCUAGCCAUGGGCAGGUUGAAGGUUGGGUAACACUAACUGGAGGACCGAACCGACUAAUGUUGAAAAAUUAGCGGAUGACUUGUGGCUGGGGGUGAAAGGCCAAUCAAACCGGGAGAUAGCUGGUUCUCCCCGAAAGCUAUUUAGGUAGCGCCUCGUGAAUUCAUCUCCGGGGGUAGAGCACUGUUUCGGCAAGGGGGUCAUCCCGACUUACCAACCCGAUGCAAACUGCGAAUACCGGAGAAUGUUAUCACGGGAGACACACGGCGGGUGCUAACGUCCGUCGUGAAGAGGGAAACAACCCAGACCGCCAGCUAAGGUCCCAAAGUCAUGGUUAAGUGGGAAACGAUGUGGGAAGGCCCAGACAGCCAGGAUGUUGGCUUAGAAGCAGCCAUCAUUUAAAGAAAGCGUAAUAGCUCACUGGUCGAGUCGGCCUGCGCGGAAGAUGUAACGGGGCUAAACCAUGCACCGAAGCUGCGGCAGCGACGCUGAUGCGUUGUUGGGUAGGGGAGCGUUCUGUAAGCCUGUGAAGGUGUGCUGUGAGGCAUGCUGGAGGUAUCAGAAGUGCGAAUGCUGACAUAAGUAACGAUAAAGCGGGUGAAAAGCCCGCUCGCCGGAAGACCAAGGGUUCCUGUCCAACGUUAAUCGGGGCAGGGUGAGUCGACCCCUAAGGCGAGGCCGAAAGGCGUAGUCGAUGGGAAACAGGUUAAUAUUCCUGUACUUGGUGUUACUGCGAAGGGGGGACGGAGAAGGCUAUGUUGGCCGGGCGACGGUUGUCCCGGUUUAAGCGUGUAGGCUGGUUUUCCAGGCAAAUCCGGAAAAUCAAGGCUGAGGCGUGAUGACGAGGCACUACGGUGCUGAAGCAACAAAUGCCCUGCUUCCAGGAAAAGCCUCUAAGCAUCAGGUAACAUCAAAUCGUACCCCAAACCGACACAGGUGGUCAGGUAGAGAAUACCAAGGCGCUUGAGAGAACUCGGGUGAAGGAACUAGGCAAAAUGGUGCCGUAACUUCGGGAGAAGGCACGCUGAUAUGUAGGUGAAGCGACUUGCUCGUGGAGCUGAAAUCAGUCGAAGAUACCAGCUGGCUGCAACUGUUUAUUAAAAACACAGCACUGUGCAAACACGAAAGUGGACGUAUACGGUGUGACGCCUGCCCGGUGCCGGAAGGUUAAUUGAUGGGGUCAGCGCAAGCGAAGCUCUUGAUCGAAGCCCCGGUAAACGGCGGCCGUAACUAUAACGGUCCUAAGGUAGCGAAAUUCCUUGUCGGGUAAGUUCCGACCUGCACGAAUGGCGUAAUGAUGGCCAGGCUGUCUCCACCCGAGACUCAGUGAAAUUGAACUCGCUGUGAAGAUGCAGUGUACCCGCGGCAAGACGGAAAGACCCCGUGAACCUUUACUAUAGCUUGACACUGAACAUUGAGCCUUGAUGUGUAGGAUAGGUGGGAGGCUUUGAAGUGUGGACGCCAGUCUGCAUGGAGCCGGCCUUGAAAUACCACCCUUUAAUGUUUGAUGUUCUAACGUUGACCCGUGAUCCGGGUUGCGGACAGUGUCUGGUGGGUAGUUUGACUGGGGCGGUCUCCUCCUAAAGAGUAACGGAGGAGCACGAAGGUUGGCUAAUCCUGGUCGGACAUCAGGAGGUUAGUGCAAUGGCAUAAGCCAGCUUGACUGCGAGCGUGACGGCGCGAGCAGGUGCGAAAGCAGGUCAUAGUGAUCCGGUGGUUCUGAAUGGAAGGGCCAUCGCUCAACGGAUAAAAGGUACUCCGGGGAUAACAGGCUGAUACCGCCCAAGAGUUCAUAUCGACGGCGGUGUUUGGCACCUCGAUGUCGGCUCAUCACAUCCUGGGGCUGAAGUAGGUCCCAAGGGUAUGGCUGUUCGCCAUUUAAAGUGGUACGCGAGCUGGGUUUAGAACGUCGUGAGACAGUUCGGUCCCUAUCUGCCGUGGGCGCUGGAGAACUGAGGGGGGCUGCUCCUAGUACGAGAGGACCGGAGUGGACGCAUCACUGGUGUUCGGGUUGUCAUGCCAAUGGCACUGCCCGGUAGCUAAAUGCGGAAGAGAUAAGUGCUGAAAGCAUCUAAGCACGAAACUUGCCCCGAGAUGAGUUCUCCCUGACUCCUUGAGAGUCCUGAAGGAACGUUGAAGACGACGACGUUGAUAGGCCGGGUGUGUAAGCGCAGCGAUGCGUUGAGCUAACCGGUACUAAUGAACCGUGAGG